This 868-nucleotide ribosomal RNA is filed under the name uncultured bacterium. Its description in RNAcentral is "bacterial SSU rRNA". It matches the Rfam family "Bacterial small subunit ribosomal RNA", at positions 498 to 1370 of the family's 1533-position model. The record is from RNAcentral.
UAACUCCGUGCCAGCAGCCGCGGUAAUACGGAGGAUCCGAGCGUUAUCCGGGAAUCAUUGGGUUUAAAGGGUCCGUAGGCGGGCCGUUAAGUCAGGGGUGAAAGUCUGCGGCUCAACCGUAGAAUUGCCCUUGAUACUGAUGGCCUUGAGUUAUGGUGAAGCAGCCAGAAUAUGUGGUGUAGCGGUGAAAUGCAUAGAUAUCACAUGGAAUACCGAUUGCGAAGGCAGGCUGCUAACCAUAUACUGACGCUGAUGGACGAAAGCGUGGGUAGCGAACAGGAUUAGAUACCCUGGUAGUCCACGCCGUAAACGAUGGAUACUAGCUGUCCGGCGGCAACGCUGGGCGGCCCAGCGAAAGUGAUAAGUAUCCCACCUGGGGAGUACGUCCGCAAGGAUGAAACUCAAAGGAAUUGACGGGGGCCCGCACAAGCGGUGGAGCAUGUGGUUUAAUUCGAUGAUACGCGAGGAACCUUACCAGGGCUUAAAUGUAGUCUGACAGCCCCAGAGACGGGGUUUUCUUCGGACAGAUUACAAGGUGCUGCAUGGUUGUCGUCAGCUCGUGCCGUGAGGUGUCAGGUUAAGUCCUAUAACGAGCGCAACCCCUGCCGUUAGUUGCCAGCAUGUCAUGAUGGGGACUCUAACGGGACUGCCGGUGCAAACCGCGAGGAAGGUGGGGACGACGUCAAAUCAUCACGGCCCUUACGUCCUGGGCCACACACGUGCUACAAUGGCCGGUACAGAGAGCUGCCACGCCGCAAGGCGGAGCGAAUCUAUAAAACCGGUCACAGUUCGGAUCGGGGUCUGCAACCCGACCCCGUGAAGCUGGAAUCGCUAGUAAUCGGAUAUCAGCCAUGAUCCGGUGAAUACG